This 253-nucleotide ribosomal RNA is filed under the name uncultured bacterium. Its description in RNAcentral is "partial 16S ribosomal RNA". It matches the Rfam family "Bacterial small subunit ribosomal RNA", at positions 524 to 776 of the family's 1533-position model. The record is from RNAcentral.
UACGGGGGGGGCAAGCGUUGUUCGGAAUUACUGGGCGUAAAGGGCUCGUAGGCGGCCAACUAAGUCGGAUGUGAAAUCCCCAGGCUCAACUUGGGAACUGCAUCCGAUACUGGAUGGCUUGAAUUCGGGAGAGGGAUGCAGAAUUCCAGGUGUAGCGGUGAAAUGCGUAGAUAUCUGGAGGAAUACCGGUGGCGAAGGCGGCAUCCUGGACUGCUACUGACACUGAGGAACGAAAGCCAGGGGAGCAAACGGG